AGCAGCCGCGGUAAUUCCAGCUCCAAUAGCGUAUAUUAAAGUUGUUGCAGUUAAAAAGCUCGUAGUUGAAUUUCGGGACCAAUUUGUUGGUCGUGCCUCGGUACGUACUGGUAUUAUUGGUUUCUCCCUUCUGAAGAACCAUGAUGCCAUUAAUUUGGUGUCGUGGGGAAUCAGGACUGUUACUUUGAAAAAAUUAGAGUGCUUAAAGCAGGCAUACGCUUGAAUACAUUAGCAUGGAAUAAUGAAAUAGGACGUUUGAUUCUAUUUUGUUGGUUUCUAGGAUCGACGUAAUGAUUAAUAGGGAUAGUUGGGGGCAUUAGUAUUCAAUUGUCAGAGGUGAAAUUCUUGGAUUUAUUGAAGACUAACUACUGCGAAAGCAUUUGCCAAGGAUGUUUUCAUUAAUCAAGAACGAAAGUUAGGGGAUCGAAGACGAUCAGAUACCGUCGUAGU
Molecule: ribosomal RNA, 450 nt
Filed under: uncultured Glomeromycotina
Lineage: Eukaryota; Fungi; Glomeromycota
Description: SSU rRNA
Rfam family: Eukaryotic small subunit ribosomal RNA
Source: RNAcentral